RNAcentral lists this ribosomal RNA (408 nucleotides) under uncultured bacterium. Its description in RNAcentral is "partial 16S ribosomal RNA". It matches the Rfam family "Bacterial small subunit ribosomal RNA", at positions 29 to 526 of the family's 1533-position model. The record is from RNAcentral.
AGUGAACGCUGGCGGCGUGCCUGAUAUAUGCAAGUCGUAGGAAGUGGCGCACGGGUGAGUAAUAUAUAGCUAAUCUGCCCCUUGCUGGAGGACAACCGUUAGAAAUGACUGCUAAUACUCCAUAGCAAGGGAUGAGACUAUAUCGUAUCAGCUAGUCGGUGGGGUAACGGCCUACCGAGGCUAUGAUGCGUAACUGGUAUGAGAGGAGGAUCAGUUACAGUGGAACUGAGUCACGGUGAAAACUCCAGCGGGAGGCAUCAGUAGGUAAUAUUGCGCAAGGGGGGAAACACGGACGAAGCAACGCGGCGUGGAGGAUGACACUUUUUGGAGCGUAAACUCCGUACGUUAGGGAAGCGGGAGCUAACUAAUGGCCACCGGCUAACGCGCUGCCAGCAGCCGCGGUAAUUC